Molecule: unclassified non-coding RNA, 1804 nt
Filed under: uncultured fungus
Lineage: Eukaryota; Fungi
Description: sequence contains 18S rRNA gene, ITS1, 5.8S rRNA gene, ITS2, 28S rRNA gene
Rfam family: Eukaryotic large subunit ribosomal RNA (bases 521-1804)
Source: RNAcentral
GGAAGGAUCAUUAACAAUUAAAAACAAAUUUUCUUUUGAGAAGAGAUUCUCAAGGGGUAGUUUGUUUUUGACAGUGAACAUUUAAAAUCUUUUCUUUAUAAUAAAACCAAAAACAAAAUUACUUGUGAAAAAAAAACAAAAAAAAACAUUUUUUUCACUUUCAACAAUGGAUAUCUUGGCUCCCGUUUCGAUGAAGAACGUAGCAAACUGCGAUAAUUGACGUGAAUUGCAGAAUAAAGUGAAUCGUCGAGUUUUUGAAUGCACCCUGCACCUCGGAGACAAAUCUCUGAGGUAUGCUUGGUUGAGUGUUACUCAAAAAUUUAAUAAAAUCAAACAAAUAAUUUGAAGGUCUCUCUCUCAAAAGGGAGUCCUUUGAAAAAUUAAAUGUUAUUUCAAAACCAUUAUGAAAUAAAGAGAAAUCCUUUCAGGAGUGUGUGAAUUGAAAAAUGCAAAUUUUUUAAGAAACAUGAACUUGAAUGGAUAUUUUUUGUUUUCAUAAUGAAACACCUUUUUUUUCAAUAUACCUCAACUCAAGCAAGAUUACCCGCUGAAUUUAAGCAUAUUAAUAAGCGGAGGAAAAGAAAACAACAGUGAUUCCCCCAGUAACGGCGAGUGAACAGGGAAAAGCUCAGACUUGAAAUCUGGAAGUCGGUUUCACGAUUUCCCGAAUUGUAGUCUUUCGAGCAUCACCCCUUGGUUCCCUCUGUCAUGAAAAAGUAUCCUGGAACGGAUUGGCAAAGAGGGUGAGACCCCCGUUUUCAUGUGACGGAGAGGUGCCGGUGCAGCGGGUGGUGCUUGUCGAGUCAGGUUGCUUGAGAGUGCAGCCUAAAACGGGUGGUAAACUCCACCUAAAGCUAAAUAAGCAACGGGAGACCGAUAGCGAAAAAGUACCGUGAGGGAAAGAUGAAAAGUACUCUGGAAAGAGAGUAAAAAGUGCUUGAAAUUGUUGAAAGAGAAGCGCUUGAACUUAGUGGCUGCCUUGUCCCUGGAGAAAGCUUCCGCGCAGCAAUGCCCGGGAGUAUUUUCUUCAGGGGCGGUGGGCUGGCACUGGUUGAGUCCGGGCUUCAAGAAGGCCCAAAGCAGCUGAAUCGCUUGGAUGAGUUUGAGCUCCGUGGGUGCUGCAACCGGUGGGGCAACCUGCCGGCAUUGCUGUCUGACGGGGUCAACGACUCAUAAUCUUAUAUUAACAAGCGCACGCUCACUCGACCAGUCAGUGAACCAAAGUCCCUGAGUCCCUUCAACAGCUCAUUCUGCGCCUUUUGGGUUUCCUGGCGAGGUCCAACGUGGCGGGGCCACCUCGCCUGUAUCCUUUGCAGGUUUCUGCAAGGGAGCAGGCGAGACCCUGCGCUUGGGCCGCGUCACAUGGGGGCCCGGCAUGCAGAAGUAAUAAAGAAGGGGUUUGUACUCAAAAGGCCUUUUUCCCUUUGCCAGCAAAAUAAGUUCAAACGUCCCGUCUUGAAACACGGACCAAGGAGUCUAACAUGCGCGCGAGCGUUCUGGUGAUCAAAACCAAACAUAUUCGAAAACAAUCCAACGCGAAACGAAAGUGAAAAAGAAGUGGGAAGCGGCUCCUUUCACAAAACUUGGGGGCCGCCGCACCACUCACCCACCCGGAGGUUCGUCCGAAACGGGUGAGAGUGAUAGUGUGCAUGAUAGGACCCGAAAGAUGGUGAACUAUGCUUGGGUAGGACAAAGCCAGGGGAACCCUGGUGGAAGUUCGUAGCGAUACUGACGUGCAAAUCGUUCGUCAAACCUGUGCAUAGUGGCGAAAGACUAAUCGAACCAUUUAGUAGCUGGUUCCCUC